This 167-nucleotide ribosomal RNA is filed under the name uncultured bacterium. Its description in RNAcentral is "partial 16S rRNA". It matches the Rfam family "Bacterial small subunit ribosomal RNA", at positions 355 to 514 of the family's 1533-position model. The record is from RNAcentral.
UGGGGAAUAUUGGACAAUGGGCGAAAGCCUGAUCCAGCCAUGCCGCGUGUGUGAAGAAGGUCUUCGGAUUGUAAAGCACUUUAAGUUGGGAGGAAGGGCAGUAAGCUAAUACCUUGCUGUUUUGACGUUACCGACAGAAUAAGCACCGGCUAACUCUGUGCCAGCAG